UGUUACUCCAUUUUUUUCAGUAAGAACAAAAUAUAUAGAAAAUGUUUCCUACCUCUUUAUAAAAAUUGUCUUAUUGUGGAUUGAAUGUGGUAGGGCACAGACUAAGCAAUACUUUGUGGAAACAGUUCAUGCUUAAGUUCUCUACGAGUUAUGUUCUGAGAACAAAGUACUUUUUAAGGUAUGAAUUUUCGUUUAGUGAAAUGCUACUAAGAAUUGACUUGUGAUUCUGACUAGACUUCUAUCACUUUAAGCAAUAAGAUAUUUAGCCUAAAAAGGAAAGGUUAUAAUCCACACAUUUUGACUUCUUUUGUGUCUAGUGUUCUCACAAUGCAAUUUGGCUGAUCAAUUUUAUAGGAGUAUGAACAAAAUUUAGGGGAAACAUGGGCCAAAAAGAUUAACUGUUCACCUUUCCUGUUUGUAUUUUUCUGCUACUUAUAAAAAAGGUCAAAUCUGACUACUCACAAAAGGGGAGGGGUGUGUGGGUAUGUGUGUGUGUGUGUGUGUAAACAGGUGAUGGGGAUUAAAGAGCACUCUUAUGACGAACACUUAAUAGUGUACAGAACUGCUGAAUCACAAUAUUGUACGCUUGAAACUAACAUAACACAGUAUGUUAACUAUACUGGAAUUAAAACAAAAAGCUUAAGAAAAAACUACUCACAGGAAUAGUGAAAAUAUGUUUACAACUUAAAUUAGAAGGAGUGAUUUCUAUAUUAGAAAACAACUUUUUAUUUCUUUUGAUUUACUAUAGAAUUUAUCUCACUGUUCUCUUCAUAUUGAGAUUUCUAAAUGCUUUACGAAUAUUAUCAAUAACAAAAACUACAACUUUCCAGGACUUUAUUUUGAAUUAUUGCCGUAUACUGACUCAUGUAUGGUCUCCCUUCCAAGUUGCCUUUCCCGUAAAUUGAUUUUCCACAAAAUAUCACAAAGAUUCUUCAGUUAGGUUUUCUUUAAGCAAUAUUUUACUGUCUUACGUUCUGAGGUCAUUCAUUUCUUCACCUUCCCAAGAGGCCACGCCACAGGACAGAGUGCAAAACUGCCCUCCAAAAAUAUAGUACUAUUCACUAUCCCCAGUACAGUUCUUAAGGAUUCAAUAUUCUCAGGAGAAAGGAAGCUUUUUUUUUUUUGGCAGAAAAGCCAUCUAGAAACAGAACCGAUUCUCAUUCCAGAAAAUUACACAAAAUCUGAAAUCCAGCUCGGCUGCUGGAUUUAUUUUUUUCGUUUCUCAUUGACGGGUUUCCCACAAGGAUUUGAAGGUAGGAUAAGGUGAUUCAUUUAGCUUAAUGCCGCCCUUGCUUUCCAAAAAGAACAGACCAUUCUGAGAGGUCGUUUAAAGAAGGUUAAAAGGGCCUUAGAUUUUAACGAAACCACAUCCAUUUUUACAGAUGUGUACCGGGGCCCGUGCCUCGCUCAAUGUCACAUGGUUCAAGAAACAGGGCAGAGUUCAAGUACGGCUCUGUCAGUGAAGUCACUGCCCAUUAUUUAACGAUUUCCACGUCCUUGGGCAUUCGAGGUGGCCAUUUAACCAGUCAAGCAACACGUACGCACUCUCUCUCCAAACGCUUAAAUGCCUUGAGAUAGUUUCUUUUCUUGUUAUUACUGUGAGAUUCCUUCUUUUAACGUGAAUCUACAGUUGAAGCAGCAUUUUGUUUUCCCCACCUCAAAGACUUGACUGGAAAACCAGCAGCAGCCGAGAGGCUGCGCCCCCGGCCCCCAUCGGGAAGCUCCCGCGCCAGCACCCGCACCGCACCCCGAAACUGCGCCAAACAACCCAGCAUGGCCAGGCCGACAGCGCUGAGAUCAAAAAGCACUGAGAACUGGCCACCCAACCCAGAGCGGGCACCGGGGACGACUAACUUGCCGUUGCUGUUACUAACCAAAGGUAACCAGAAUAGAGGAAAGCAGGAUACUGCUGCAAGACCGGGAAAACCCCACGCUCACUCUUCCCGGUGUCGGAAAGAGCCUUCCUGACUUCCGGCGGAGGGUCGCUGUCCUCGCACGGUUUUAUGGGAAAUGUAGUUUGAGGAUCACAAAUUGUGCGUGAUCAGUGAAGGGGAGGGACUUGGGGGUGAACGCGUUCGGGAGCCUGGGCGGGGAGGUCACUGCUGUUAAGGUCCAGCUUCUUGGUGGUGAGUCAGGGGCUGGUUUUCCUUUUCCGUCAUACCGAGACAUGUGAAGUGUGGUGCGGACGAUGGAAAACCUUAGGAGCUGAGAGAAGUUUGCUGAAGUAUGCCGGCUACAAACUUUCCUGUGGUUAUUUCAAUGUUUAGCUACUGUGUAUGUCUUCCUUACUCAAAGUGUGACUCAGUAUGAACCAUGGAUGCUGGUGAAAAAUGCAGAAUUCCAGACUCAUCUCUGACCUACUGAAUCAGAAUCUACAAUUUAAUGAGAUCCUCAGGUAAUUUAUGUGCACAUUACAGUUUGAGAACAUGGCUUUGGGUAAUUGUCUCAUAGUAAGGUGGGUUGCCUCUUAAAAACUUGUGUUCAUUUUUUAGAUGCAAAUUAGUAGUGUUUUUGUUGGCUAAAUUCAAGCAUGACUGACUCUACAGAGGUUCUUCUAGACCACCAGACUUCCUGCAUUGUAGCAACGAAGAAAAAUACUCUCUGAGAGUAGAGCCAGACUCCAACACGACUUGCUUCUGAGCCCUUGUUGACACAUUUUUCUUUUUGUUCAGUGGCGGUGCUCUUUCCUCUUUCUUUACCAUUUGCCUAUCAAAAUUUAAUGUCUGGUUCUAGGUUAUAGUUGCCUUUAUCUAGACUUCAGGAAUUGCCUCAGUGGAAUUUUUUUUAUACCUUUGCUGGAAUAGUCUCAGUUCUUUAGAAUUUUUCUAGAAUUCUGACCGUGGUUAUAGAUGCUAGACUUUGAAACAUUUGAAUACUUGCCUUCUGUAGUGGUUAAUUUUAUGUGUCAUCUUGACUGGGCUAAAGAUUGCCCAGAUAGCUGGUAAAAUAUUAUUUCUGAGGGUGUCUGUGAGGGUGUUCGUGGAAGAGAUUAGCAUUUGAAUCAGUACACUGAGUAAAGCAGUUUGCUCUCCCUAGUGUGGGUGGGUAUUUAUUAUCUAAUCCAUUGAGGGCCUAAAUAGAACAAAAAGGCAGAGGAAAAGUGGAUUCACUUUCUCUCUUUGAGCUGAGACAUCCAUCUUCUCCUGCCCUUGGAUAUUGGACAUCAGCUCCUAGUUCUUGGGCUUUGAGACUCAGACUAUGAGCUCCCCCACCCUCCCUCCAAGGUGGGUCAGUCCUUAGAUUGAUUGCCUGCCUAUGAUUCCUGCUUCCCUCAUUUAACCUUCUGGUCUCAGGCAUACAGCCUCUGCUAGAUACACUAUGCUAGAUUAUAAAAUUCAUUUUGCUUUCUCUUCAGUUUUCAAAUAGCUCUUAGAACAUUGAAGUAGCAUAUGCUUCAUUUUAGUUUUGACAUAGAGUUGCAAAGAUGUAUCGUUUUUAUGAUGGCAGGCUUUUUUUUUUUUUUGCUAAGGAUUAAAAUAUAUGGCUAUGGCUUAUGGAUACUAAAUAUUUAUCUAUUUAUCUAUAUAUAAUUUUUUCCAGUGAAGAAUAAGGCCCUGUCCUGUUGCUAUGUGGUAUAAGGAUAAAUUAUAAAAGACAUGGUCUAGGGCACCUAGUGCACAUUAACUGUAAUACAGGUAAGCCAGUAUAUAAGUGCUGGAAGUGACAAAAAUGUCAUCAGGUACUCAGAGUAGGAAGAAAUCACUGCCUGAUGUUCAGGAAAAAGCUCAGAGAGGAGGCAGUGUUAAGAAUAGAACCAAAAUGGGAUAGAGAAAUGGUAUUCCCAGACCAGGGCAUAACAAGACACAGAUGCUAAAAGAGAUUUAUAGAAGAUGGACCCAGAACCAUAAUGGACAUUUAGGUAAGCUGAACAUAUGUGAAGGCAAACGGUGGGAGACAGAGGGAUCUGAACACAAUGUGCUAAGCAUGUGAACUGGACCUCUGGAAGGAACAUAAUUGUUUGUGACAAAAAAGGGAGAAAAAUAAUGCUGUAGGGAGAAAAGACACAAAGUACAGCAACUUUGUGCCUGAAUACCUGGCUAUGAAAGGCUGGCCAUGGAAGGGUCACGCUUAGCAAUGAAGAAAUGUAUAUGAAGUCUUUCCUUGUCAGUCUAAACAAGAUUUCUCAUCCAGAGGGAAAAAUGAUAUAUUAUAAAUGAAUGGCACCAUCAAGUGAUGGGGUAGCCACAUUUGGAAUAAUGGAAGACCUGGAUAGACAGAAUAAUACAUGGGUCGUAUGUUUGGCCAAAUGGAUUUAAUAGAUUGAGAAUCCAGCAAACCCAUUUAUCAAACUUUGCAGCUCAGGACGAUGACUUGAGUAAAGUGGUUCUCAUGUAUCGGAAGAAAACAGGUGAGCUAGGGGUAAAUGGAGAAUAGUGUAGUGGAAAAAACAUUGUAAGACAAAGACUACAGUACAAAUUUUGCCUUAAUUCACUGUGUGACUUUUGGCAAGUCACUUAAACUCCCUGGGCUUCAGUGUCCUCAUGUGUAAAAUGAGGACAGUCUCUAUUCUUGACCAAUGUGGAGACUUUUUGCCUAAUUUUCUAGUUCUUUUGAAGAUCACAGUGAAACAACAAAUUCCAUUGGGAGACUAUGCCACUCAGUAUGAUGAGGUGGUCAAUUUGUACUCAUUUUCUGAAUAUCAAGAUAAUAAACAAUUUUGUCGGAUCUACUUUCCAGAUUAUUGAUUCACAUGGAACCAUUGUGGGACACUAGGGGCAUAGUGGUAGAACUGAGGUGCUUGAGAAGUACCAGUGGACCCAAGACCCAUAUUCACUGCCUUACUGAACAUUGGACCUGCUGGAGGAAUCAGAGGAGGGCGGGAGUUAGAAGCUAUUACUUGGGGACAUCCUAAGGUCGCUCUCUAGAAUAGGGUGUGAUAUUGGGCCUUCAACAAAAAUAUCCACUCUUAGCUUACAGUAAGUUCUUGCAACCAUUUGUGAUUGAGACUUUUGCUCCCAAGUGUGAUAUAGUCAGUUUAUGCACUAAAGGGAAUAUUUGCCAGUCAGGUAAUAUAUCUCAUUGUAAUAUUAAAAAAAAAAAAAAAACUCUGGUGGCUGUAGUCCCUGCUCAUUAUAGUUUUCUGCACAGUCUACUCUAGAAAGAAAACUGCAAAAAUAGAAAAAGGUGUAUUUUCAGAAAAUUAUUCACAAUUAAUGCCAAGUGAGUCAAAUUCCAAAGUGUUUAAAUGUCAAGGGAAAGACAAUGCUAACUUGACCUCCUUCAAUUUUCAUAUGGAGGCUUGUGAAGUUUGGGUAGGAUAAAGAGAAAAGCACCUUUUAUUCCCAAAAGCUUUUUAAACCUGCCUUUAGUAGGCACUGUGUGUCUUCUUUUUGUAAUCUCGGGUUUUAUAGUCUCCUUUAUCAAUUGUGAGAGGUGUGGAAGGGCUAGUUUAUAUCUUUCAGAAGGGACACCUGGGUCAACAGGUUGAAAGAACUUUGAAAGUUAUUUGUAUCUUUGCCAGUCCCUGCAUUGUGUGAGAAUCACUGUAGCUAGUGUGUAAACUACCUUUGAAUAAGAGACAGAAAAUGGAAUUUAUCAGGGGACAAUGCCUUUUGUUUAGAAGGAGCAACAAAAGAUGAAUAAAAGACCACAGCCAGUCUUCUGUGUUUAGUGUCCCAUUUUUCCAGAUAAAAAAGGGGAUAAUAUUCAAUCUUGAUUGUGCACAGAGGCCUUUGGUACUUUAAGGAGAUGGAGGAAGAAGGGAAAUGAAAAAGAAAUAAAGCGACCAAUAUGUUCUUGAACUGUGACUUCUGGCAGCUGCAUUUAAAAAACAACCAUUACAUUUUGUGGGUAUAUCUGUGAGGCUUAUCCAUUAUGUGUGCAAACACAAUCUGAUUAGUAUUUGUUAUAAGCUCGUCUUGUCUGCUUUUAUUACAGACAUCACCUUCAGAUGUGGGGCCACUGCAGCUAUUAAAUCAGGAAUAUUUAGCUAUUAUUUGUAAUAAAUGUCAGCAGGGCUGAACUGAAGCCAGCAGGAAAUGUUCAGGGCAGAAAACACACUGACAUUCAUUCAUGCAAAUUUGUACCACUGGUAGAAUUAAUCAUAAAGAGGGAGGGUAGAGCAUACAAUGCAUUUAUAUUACUGGUUUGGCCAAUUCUCCUUCUUCCUGAAUAUGAGAGUUAUAAUGAACAGAAAGCAAUCUGCUGACAAAUAGUCCCAUGUGAAGUGCAGGCAGUGAGAUUAACUUUCCAAAGCGGACAUGUCUGGCUUUAUAGUGGACCACCCCUCCUUCCCUCCACACCACCCCAGCCCUCUGAGGCAGUUUUGCGGUGUCCUUUUUUCUCUUUAAAAGACUUCUAGAUUUAGCAUGCACAUAACUAUUACCUCUUGAAAUCACAGGGAUGCUCUAAAGAACAUUCUGUGCAUAGUGCUGAGUAUUGGGCCAGCCUUACCCUGUUACAAAGCACCCAGGGUGCUUAUGUCACACUGGGAAGGUAUAGUGAUAGGAACUGGGUUGUUGACUAUGAAGAAAUUGUGGUUUGCCAAAAGGAAGAGAAUUUAAUUUUUUUUUGAAAAGCUGCAUCUGUGCAAAGUGAAUUGCAAUAACCCAUAUAACGGAUUAAUGCAGUAUCCUCUGAGAAGAUUGCAGUCACCAUCAGCAACACAGCCACAGCUUGCCCUGAACAUCAACUAUCAUUUAAUUUGUAGGAGUGAGUAAAGUUAACACCAGAAAAGAGUUAGUGCAUUUAUUUUUAAAAAAAGGUGAGAAAAAUACAAGCCAAAAGCAUACUUUAAAAUGUUUCUCAUUUUCUCACAGCCUGAAAUUAUUAUUCACCGGGAAACAAAAACUUCUUGAAAGAGCUGACAUAAAAAUUAUAGGUGACUUCAAAGAUAUUAAUUAUUCUUAGUUGUUUUAGUCCUAUGAUUGGAACAGAAAAUACGGAGAACAUGAGAUUAAACUAUGCUUGAUAAAGUAAACACAAAAAUUCUUUUAAAAAUUAUAUACUAAUAUUGGUCAAAAUUAAGGAAAAGUCUUCUAAAAUGUUUCAUGUAUCAUAGAAGUCAGUUCAAAGUAGUGCUUUGCUAAAACAUGUCAUUUUCUCCCUACUACAUUGUAUUGUGCCCAUAUUUACAGAAUGCAUAUUGUAAACUGAAUACUUCUUUCCUUAAUUUUAAUCCCUGAUGUGAUUAUAUUGCUUGCAUUUUUUUUUUUUUUUGUCUCAGUAUAGGUUUUAGAAGAGAACUCGUACAAAAUGAAAUGGAAAGGGACAUUACUGUUGAUUAAGUGAAGGUCAUAAUAGGUAUAGUAACUGAAUUGAAUGACUUAUACUAUAAUUAGUGGCAUUGGUAGUGACAUCAAGGUGAGGGAUGGAAUGUGUUUUCACCUGUGGGAUUUCUGCAGUACCAAUGGAGAAGACCAGAAAAGCUGAUGUGGCAUUGUGACUUCAUGACUUUUCAAAGCUGAGCUAUUCUUUUUAAUAAUGCCCUUAUGGUACAAUUAUUGAUUCAAUGUCUUAUUCUCCAGAGGAAUUUUAGGAAUUAUGGGAACAUAUUUAUUAAAAAUAAAUGGAGAAGAGAUGUAUAAAUCAUUGGCAACAGCUGACAUCUACCUACAGGGAAGGUCAUUAUAAGCUGGUAUUUAUAUUACAGAUACACAGACUAUUAGACCUUAUAUAGUUUCUAAAGCUGAGUCAAAAUUUUGGCUUUGGGUUUCCUGGUGGCCAAAGAGAAAGAGCAAUGUAAGCCUUAACAUAAUUAAAAUUGUUAAAAGAAGAAAAAGUGUUAGUAAUAUGAGGCAGGCAGACUCUAUGGUGGCUCCCAAGAUUUUUGUCUUCUGGUAUUAAAAUCCUAUGUAAACCCUUCCCUUUGAGUUUGGGGAAGAUCCAUGACUUCUAACUAGUAGAGUAUGGCAAAGGUAACAGGACAUGCAUGAAUACAUGUGAGUGAUUAUAUUACAUAAGGUUUUACCACCCAUCUUGCUACGAUUUUCAAAUUCUCCCUUGCUGCCUGUAAAGAAGCAAGAUGGCAUAUUAUGAGCCACCAUAUGGAAAAACCCAAUGGCACAGGGAAGGUAAUCUCCAGCAAACAGCCAGCAAGGAACAAAAGCCCUGAUUCUGGCAGCAAAAGGAACUGAAUGCUGCCAGUAAUCACAUGAGUGGAUAAUUUCCCAUUUGAGCCUCAGAUGAGACUACAGUCUUUGCUGACACCUAUAUUGAAACCUUAUAUGACUCUGAAACACAAAACCCAACUAAGUCAUUCUUGAGCUCCUGACCCACUGAAAUUGUGAGGUAGUGUGUCUUGUUUGUGCAGCAAUAUAUAACUUAUGCAUAAAUAUGAGGAGAAAUAUUCAGUUCCUUUGCUGUUUGGGUCCUAAAACUAUCUUUAUGUUUAAUUUAUCUUUGGGACCCAAGGAUUUUUUUUCCUUCUCCCCCAUCACAUUGCCUGCAUACUUCUUCCUCUUAGAAAUUGGUUCCCUUUUCUCUCUAAAGACAUAACUUCCGAUUCCAUCCUUUCUCCUUUUCCAUCUUGAGACAGUUUUUUUCUACAUCCCUAAAAAAAUGAAUGUCCAGGGGCACCUGGGUGGCUCAGUUGGUAGAGCAUGCUACUCUUGAUCUCGGGAUUGUGUUUGAGCCCCACAUUGGGUGUAGAGAUUACUUAAAAAUAAAACAUUUUAAAAAUCUAUCUUAGAGAGAUAUCUAGAGAGACUACUUGCUGCUUUCUCUUCCUCUGUAAAAUAUUUUGAUGCCACUUUGAAAAAUAAACAUAGAACAACUUUCAUAAUAAAAGUAUUACAAAGACUUUUGUAAAGGUGAUAAAAUAAUAGGACACCCAUUUAUUAGGUGUCAGGCUCUGUUCUAAGUGCAUACAUGUUAAUUCAUUUUACAUUAAUAAAAACCAUUUUAAAAUGAAAAACUUGAAACUCAGAGAGGAUAAAGAAUUUUCUUAAGGUCACACAUUUGUUAAGUUUAAACUGGAAUCUGAUUCCAAACAAUUUGGUUUCAGAAUGUGUGUUUUAACUAGUGUGCUAUCCUCCCUCUUAAAGUAUCAUAGUAGGGAAGACAGCUGUUAGAGGGUGUGUGAUUGGAUAUAAAGCUGAGUCUAAGUUUCUUGGUGGUGCUUUCAAAAGAUGAAAUAUGCUAAGUCAUUUAAUUUUCAUUGUGUAAGAAUACAUUUGUGAAAUGGACAAUGAAUCAACCUCCAUAAAAUAAAAGGAGAUUCUAAGAGUUGUUUUGGCUUGCCUUUUGGGCAUGUAGCCCAAAUCACCUCAUCAGGAGGCUCAUUUCAGUGGCAAUUUUGAUUACUCUGAACUUUAUUUAAGAGGGCAGCAUUUUCUUUUUCCUUGAUUAUUCUCUCUGAAGCUUCAGGUUUAAUUAAACAGGACCAACUGAUGUGUCUUUCAGAAUAAAUCACCUUCAGUCUCUAGUAGCCAUUCCUCCAUCUCUAUCUUUACUUCCUUAAUUGUUGAAGUUUUGUAUAGUGUGAUGGUUCAUUUUCUCUGUCACCUUGGCUGGGCUAAGUACGCAGACAUGUGGUCAAACAUUAUUCUGCGUAUUUGUAAGUGUGUUUUUGGAUGAGAUUAAUAUUUCAAUCUAUGGGCUCUGAGGAAAGCAGAUUGACCUCCCUAAUGUGGGUGGGCCUUACCCAAUCAACUGAAGCCUUGACUCCAACAAAAGACUUACCUCACCCCAGCAGGAGGGAAUUCUGCCAGCAGAUAGCCUUUGGACUUGAACUGAAACAUGAGUUCUUCCUAUAUUCCUGGCUUGCUGCCCCACUCCACAGAUUUUGGAAUUGCCAGCCUCCAUAAUCAUAUGAACCAAUUCCUUAAAUAAAUCUUUCUACUUAUGUAUACACUCAUCCUAAUCGUUCUGUUUCUCUGGAGAACCUUAAUGUAGUAGCCAUGUGGCCUCCUUUCAGCUAUAGGAGGUAAAACUGAGAUGUUAGAGGAAUUCUGGGGAUAUUUUAGAAAAUGUAUCCUCAGUAAUAAAGAGAUACAAAAGAGGAGACCCUCUCUUUUUUCACUUCGGACUUUAUUGGCUGGUGGGAUACCAAGACCAAUACCCAUCAGUGUGGGACGAGAGAAGGUAGCCAGAGAAAAUGAGAUGAUAUGCCCAGGAUGGCAAAGCAGGAUGCCGAGAGAUUGUUGUUGCUUGAGAUGUCAUUGAACUGAUGAACUAGCCAACAUAAGAACCGAGUUCAGAACUUCUUUGCAGGAUAGUAAAUGCCUAUAUUGUUUAAUGAAUUCUAGUUGGGUAUUUAUUUUAUUUGCUGCUGAAAAUACACUAAUGGAUAUUUUUAACCACAGUACAUGUCUCUAGAGAGUUGAACAAAUAGAUGUGGUAUGCGAAAUUAUUAGAUAUUGAUGACCAAAUCAUGUUACAACCUGAUAAGAAUAUAGGGUUUAGGCGGUUAAUCUAUUUGAGUGAACGGUAGGGAGUGGUGAAGACUAUAGGGUACCUGAAGAGGGUAUAAUCUGCCUAAAGGGCAGCUACUCAGCUCCUAUGAAUUGCUUCUUAUUUGAAAUUGCAAUCCUGGGGGGCACCUGGGUGGUUCAGUCAGUUAAGCGCCGACUCUUGAUUUUGGUUCAGGUAAUGAUCUCACAAUCGUGGGAUAGAGCCCCACAUUGGGCUCUGCUAUGAGGGUGGAGACUGCUUGGUCUCUCUCCUUCUCUCUCUCUGCCCUUUCCCCUCUUAUCUUCUCUCUUUCUAUGUCUAAAUAAAUAAAUAAACACUAAAAAAAAAAAGAAAAUGCAAUCCUGGCAUUGUCAUUUUUUUUAAUUGUUGAGAGAAUCUGAAAAUCUGGAUUUUUCUUUGAAACGUCCCAAUUUUUAAAGAUUUAUAAUGAAUUCAAUUUAUAAAAAAUAAAACACGAGUGGACCAAAUCAAAAGUUGAAUGCCAGAGUUUACCUAUAAGCUUCCAGUGUGCAAUUCUGGCAUAAAAAGUAGUAAAUUUCUGCUAAAUAUAAUGAUUUCUUGUUUCAUCUUAUGUUAUUGUGGUUAAUAUUUACCUCUGUUUCUUUGUACUGCAUAGGUAUCACAACUAAUGAUCUCUUAAGGCCACUCCUGGAUUGUGAUAAUAAGAUCACAUUAUCUGAAUAUAUCCUAAUCUGCUUAUCUUCCCAUCUGCUUUAAUUUAAGACAUUAAAAAGUAAUUGUGAUAUAAAGUUUAAAAGACAGAAGGAAUAUAGAACACAUUUUUUUUACUGUCAUUUAAAUUGAUACCAAGACACUAUUUCCUCUAUAGAAAUUUUCUAUGAUUUCUUAUUUUUCAUUUUGUUUAGAAACAUGCUUGUUGAAUUAGCAACACAGUCCAUCUAGAUUUUAAAUUCUAAUCAGAUGAAUAUGCAGAAAUUCCUAUCCAGGCUCACCACCAUUUAUUUGACUCUGGGAAAUUAUUUAAACUUUUGAAAGCUAUUUUUUUUCCAUCAGUAAAAUAUGGAAGUUGGGAAUUUAAGUAAGUAAUAUUCCUUUUGACUGUAAGAUAUUGUGAGUCUUCAUUUAUGGCAGUAGCACACAAGUUACAUUUUGGGAAGAGUUUAUAGUACUGUCUUUGUAACAUUAUUCUCUAAUUCAAGUAUGUUACCCUUUAAAUAACUUGUAAGGGAGUUGAUCCGUUAAUCCACCUAAACUCUUAAACAUUUUCAGAGUCCCAAUUUGAAUAACAUUUUGAGGGUAAUGAGUUCGAUGUGUUCUGUAACCAGUAGACAAUGAAGUACUUCAUUUAUUUGUUCCCAAAUAUAGAUUUUAAAAAUGAACCACAAACAUAAAAAUAUUUACAUAACUUGUCCUCAUAGGUGGGACUAUGAGACUCAUUCAUAAUUUCAUUGCAUAAUUAAACCUGUAAAAGUAUAAUGAAAUGGAUGUAGUGAUAUUGCUGUUAUUCACUACAGUGAUGGAAAAAACAGCAGCAACAGCAUCUCACCAGCAUAGUAUCAUUUAUCAAAAGAUGACUUAUAUUUUUUCAAGACAACAGGUUCCUCAAGCACACUCCAAAGGCAUUCUGAAUUUUCUUUUUGAUAUGUUUGUAUCUAUUUUCAGGCUCUUGACUAAUUAUGCCAAAUUCUAAAUAUCAAUCUUCUGCGUGAAUAGAACAGAUAUACAGUAAGUAGAAUAGCAGUUUCUUAUUGAAUGUGUAUACAGAAUUCAAUGACUAACAAAUAUGACCUAACUCUUUAGGGAAAGAGAAUAAAAUCAACAUGUGUCCAAACACUGAGGCUUGCUGUUCACAGUGCAUUAAAAUAACAUGGAUGGUCUUCAUCAGAUAUGGAGUUCUCACCAGCUUGAGAUUUUUCUUAUGUAGAGAUUUUGAUGCCCUCUACUUUACAUUCUAGGUGUUUAAUAACCAUUUGUAUAAGAGAGAAUUUUUAAGGGAACACUGCACCAAAUUGGUUUAUUUUGAAGUUGGAAUAUUUAAAAAAAUUAUCCUCUUCUGGAGAUACUUUUUGCUGUAUUCAGGAUUAGGAAACUUUUAGAGCUCCUGGAAGCAAUAGGGGUGAAAGUUUUUGCAUUUAUUAAAUCUAAGUUAAAAGCUGUCACACUUGAUUCCUUAGCUGGCAGUUCUAAACUAGAGCAUUUAUGUUUGUUAAAAAUUGAUUUUUACCAUGGCUAAAAAGUUGAUUUAUUUUUGUUUUUUUUUUCCUCAACCAUUCUUAUGAAAAGGAAUGAAUAUGAAGUGUUUUUGUGAAAUUCAUAUUGUGCAUCCGCUUGAUUUUUUUGGCAGCUGAGAUUUAUCUGGUUAUUUGAAUAUGACCUUAUGAUCCCAUAUAACCAUGAUCUGAGGUUCUUAAGUGUCUUCCAGUUGAGGUAGGAAAUACGUCAGAACUCAUUAAGAGGUUACCUGCAUACUAUAUUGAUUUUUAUAAAUUGCUCCUUAAAUUAUAGUGGGCAUGAUGACACACAUAAAAUCACUGAGGUCAGGUAAUAUUUGGAUGAAAUUGAUGCAUUUUGCUAGUAGUUAUAGACACAGCUAUUCUCUGGUACUGUGUCACGAAUAAUUGUACUUCGGUAAAUUAUUUAAAAUAAACAUUUUUAUCUUCAUUCUCAGUGAAGGUUCAUGUUAAGCAAAUUGUGCUCAUUGUUAUGUUACAGCUGUCAGCCUUGAUGCCUAACAAACUAUGAUCAUUCCCAGGCCAAUCUUACCUGUCUACAGCCAUUGCUGAAGAAUUUGACCUAUGCAGAUAUUGGAACUCUGUCCGCCCCCUGAUUCGACUGAUCGGGAAAUAGGGAAAUAAUUAGUGGUUAAGAGGGGAGCAGAAGCUGAAAGAUGUCAUGAGGGAAUUAGAACCCUGAGUGAUGAUCAUAAAUUGAAGUUCUGAGGAGACAGAAUUGUGAGUAAUCAGUGGUUACAAAGAGGAGAAAGGAUUAUAGAUCUGUCUCUAGGUAUAUGAAUAACACUAAUGGAGCAUGUAGUUGGCAAAUAACUGAGUUAAGGUAAUGCCAGAAGACUCGUGCAAAGAUUCUACCAUGUUACAAGCAUUUUAUCCUUCUGAGCACCAGAUAGUCUGGGUUUUUGUAGCUGUACAUCUUUCCAGUACACUUCUUGUUAUAUGAGAUAACUCAACUUUGUUUCUAUUUCUUGACGUACAGUGAGAAUUAAUCCAUUCUUUUUUCUAGCAGUGGAACCAGUUCUUUACAUGAAUUUUUUUUUUAGCUCACUAAUAUCUAUCUAUUUAUUUAUUUAUUUAUCUAUCUAUCUAUCUAUUUAUUUAUUUAUUUAUUUAUUAUUUUUUAAACUUAUUGUCAAGUUAGCUAACAUACAGUGUAGUCCUGACUUCAAGAUUCCCAUGAUUCAUCACUUCCAUACGGCAUCCUUUGCUCAUCCAAUAUUUUAAAGCAGAUGAACGCUUGCACACUUGAAGCAAUGGUGGGGAGUUAAUGUGUCUCUCACACUUUUCCCUUAAUGUGUCUCUCACCCAUUUCUUAUUUUCUCCUGCUGAGACAAUUCUGUAGACCCUAGUCCCCUCCUCCUGUAAUUUAAAACCCACUAAUCUGACCUGAAGAUACGGGUAAACCCAUAAACAGGUAAUGAAAGGAACAGUGGGACCCAGAGGAGGCAUGUAUUUUUCCUGGUGGGUUUGGAUCAUUAUUUCAUUGUUAUUCCAAUCAUUAUUCUUUGGAUAUGGGACCCUUUCACUAACUACCCUCAUUCCUCCCAUUAUCUCACAAAAUACCACAAAAUUAUGUUCAACUGUGAGCUUAACGUUUCUAGCCUAAACCACUUCCCUGAGCUCUGAACUUCUUUAUCUAGUUGCCUAACAAUCAUGCUCUUUGUGUGGCUUAUAGAAGUCUCAUAAAAUAGUGGGAAGAAAGAAGUCAUUACACAAAGAAAUGUGUACUUAUACUGAACUUAAGAGAAACUGUGUUAUAGUAGCCAGUAACGUAAACAUGUUGGACCUGGUAAUUUGACUAAAGCAAAACAUCAUCAGACAUUAUGUUAAAUUAAUAUUAAUUUUAAUUUAUUGCUUUUAUAUCUUUGAUCAUAUUUAAUUCAUUUUGUGAUUAUAUGUUUAUGUAAAGAGUUUAUAGUUUCAAAUAUUUUAAUUACUGUAAACACAAUUGAAAUUAUUACUGGUAAGGUACAAUGCUUUCUUUUUCUAUAAAAUAAAUCAUCUGUGAGAACCACUAACUGACACCAUGCUGCAUGCUAUUAACAUUAUUUAUGUAGCUCACAGCGUGGUCUUUUAUCUGUAAGCACGCCAAUAGCAAAACUUUUUUUUUUUUAAUUAGACAGUUUAAAUUUUUUUUUAAACCUUUACUUAUUUUUGAGAGAGAGAGAGAGGGAGACAGAGUGCAAGCAGGGGAGGAACAGAGAGAGAGAGGGAGACACAGAAUCCAAAGCAGGCUCCAGGCUCCAAGCUGUCAGCACAGAGCCAGAUGUGGGGCUUGAACUCAAGAACUGCAAGAUCAUGAUCUGAGCCAAAGUCGGAUGCCCAACUGACUGAGCCACCCAGGUGCCUCUUAAUCAGACAGGUUUAGAAUGGAAAGUGUCUAUUUUUGCUGAAUAAAACAGGAUACACUGAUGAGGCCUUUUUUUUAUGUGUCAAAGUAGAAAAGCACUAUUUGAAAUCAAAUAAAGUAUACAAAGGUAUACUUUACGUCCACUUUAGUUUUGACCCUUACCAUGUCUUUGGAGAUAAAGGUUAUAUGUAGAGUGUUUGUUGGGAGUCACUUACUAAUAUGAGUAAGAAGGUAAUAGUUUCAUUUUUGAGGUAUCUUCAGAUGUCACAGCUUCAAAAUAUGUGAAUUUGCCAAAAAUACUUGGUUUACUUGCAGACAGAUUUCCUUUUAGGAAAACAUGCUUUUGUUGAUACCAAGAGACAUAUGAGUUUGCAUUUCGUUCCAUAUUCCCCUCUUUAAUUGUGAUGUGGCAAAAGGAUAGAGAUAAUGUGUAAUUGGAGGAAGCUAAAGUGAAGUAGAGAGGAACCAAGAAUAUUAUUUUAAAAAAUAUAAUUUCAUUGAUACUGGCAACAAAAAAUAAAACUUCCUCUUGCCACUAGCAUUGUUUUUAUCACCAGCAAUAUUAGUAAAAUAAUCUUCCAAAUUAAACUCAAAAGAAGUGUCUCUGCUUUUGCAUUUUAUGUAAUUGUGGAGAGGUUGUUUAUAGACAAAUAAGACUUUUUAAGCAGUGUCUAUGUGUAAGAAACUGUGAACGGUAUUUCUUACAUAAUUUUAUGCUCACAAAAGUCUUCCAGGUCUGUCACUACCCUUGUGCAGACUGUGAAACAGAAGUGCCAAGUAGUUAAGUAAUAUACUCUGGUUCAGAUAAUAUAUAGCAGAUGUAGGUUUCAAACUCAGAGUUGUCUGGCUCCCAUAUUCAUGAUGUUGCCAUUAUAUCUCUUUAAUGAAAAUGAGAAAGAUGAAUAUGGAAUACUGUGUAUUUAGUAAAACAUAAGUCCUGUGUUCUUGGAAAACUAGUUCUAAAGAUAAUUCCUGUAUUCUCUAUUAAUAUCUCUAUUAAUAUUUGGAGCACUGUCUAUAUUUUAAACCUUCCAGGAUAGAUAGUUUAAAGAAAGCAAAACACUUUUAUAUUUGUAAUUUUUAGAACAUCAAAAAUAAAACAAAUGGUUGAAUUAUUUUUUAGUUGCACUCUGUAGAAUAUAUACUAAAAAAGUUGUGGUGACUGAAAUACCUGUCGUUGUUAGAUGGUUGUCUUUCAGGAUCUAUAAUUACAUGUUUAAUGUUCUUAAAAUAUGUAGACUAGUAUCCUAGUUGCUUGUUGUUUCUAACAUUAUUAGUAUUAAUAAUACUACAAGUUUCCAAAAUUGGAGACUUGACUGGAUCAGUAAAUAAGUUUGAGGAUUACUGGACUCUUUCUCCAGCCUAAAGCAUUUGAUCCCAUUUAGGUCAUGGUUAUCAAUACCAGAAGGCGAUUACAAUAUUCAUUUUUGGGACCCCUGUGAACUUAGCAAUUAUGAAGAAAAAUUGAUGGCAUGUGUUUCUUAAAUGAUUAAGGAGGAUUUGGAGAACACAAUAGUUCAUGCCACAGCCCUUUACCACUGGCUUCUUAGAAAUCUAGAGUUAAAUUUAUAGUACACAUUUGUUAUAAUUAAGCUCCAUUCUUCGAAAAAAAUGCUUUCUCAUCUUUAAAAGAUUUUUGUUUCUCUCCUGAAAUCUAUUAAAAAUUUUUUAAUGUUGAUUCAUUUUGAGAGAGAGAGAGAGAGAGAGAGAGAGAGAGAGAGCGCGCGAGCGUGCACAUGCAAGUGAGAAGGGGCUGAGAGAGGGAGGGAGAGAGAGAAAAUCACAAGCAGGCUCUUCACUGUCAGCGGGUAGCCUGACAUGAGGCUCGAUUUCAUGAGCUGUGAGAUCAUGACCUGAGCUAAGAUCAAGUGUUGGAUGCUUAAUCAAUUGGCCACCCAGGCUCAGGCGCCCCUGAGAAUCUAAUUUUAUUGUUCUGUUCUCAUAGGUACAUUUUUUUGGUAAUAUGCUUAUAAUUUAGAUUGUGUCCAAUUCUUUUUAGAAAGAACAAAUAUUCUCCUUCCACAGAAUAAUAUAGUAUUACCUUGUCAAAUAAAAAUAAAGGAUAAUUUCAUUGUUGAGUCUAUAAGGCCAAGGAAAAUUAUGACUAGAGACAUAAUUUAUUGAGUGUAUUAGUGAAAUUUAUCAUUGUCUUACCAUACUUCCUGUGUAACAGUACUACCUUUCACAAAGUUGCCUAAAAGGGGUUGCCUUUGUAAACUUUCUUUGGAAUAUUACUGGCUAACCGCUUGAAAAUUGUGAAAUGGCGAACCACAAACUGUGUGCAUGUUGAAAAGUUGAUCUUCACAACCAAGAGGAAAUAGUGGCUUUUGACUUAGUUAUUCAUUCCACACAGCAGUAGACUGGUGGUUCUUGUAUAACACCAAAAAUUCUGAGGCGAGAUUUGCUGUAAUCACACAAACCAACAGGUUAAAACCUCAGAAAUGACCUUUUAAAGGGCACGCAUUCAAUUUUGACAAAAAUAAUCAACAGCAGGCUUGAGGGUAAAAAAUAAAAAAUUUAAACCCUACAAUUAGGUAGCUUAUUUAAAAACACAGGAUGAGAGGCACAGAUGGUUCAUAUUAAUAAAAGCAAACAAACAAAAGACUAAACACAGGAAUAUAAAAUUAGCAAUAGCCAGAGAUGAACUACUUUAACAGACUGUUUCUAAAAAUCUAUAUCUGUUCAUGGAUGAGUAUUGAUUGAGAACUGGAAGUAAAACAGAAGUCUUUGCUUUAAAGAAGUU
Long non-coding RNA from Acinonyx jubatus (cheetah), 17638 nucleotides. RefSeq lists it as uncharacterized. The record is from RefSeq and is a predicted model, not a curated record. The transcript is spliced from 3 exons. Lineage: Eukaryota; Metazoa; Chordata; Mammalia; Carnivora; Felidae.